Molecule: ribosomal RNA, 468 nt
Filed under: uncultured bacterium
Lineage: Bacteria
Description: partial 16S ribosomal RNA
Rfam family: Bacterial small subunit ribosomal RNA
Source: RNAcentral
GACGAACGCUGGCGGCGUGCUUAACACAUGCAAGUCGAACGGAAAGGCCCUGCUUUUGUGGGGUGCUCGAGUGGCGAACGGGUGAGUAACACGUGAGUAACCUGCCCUUGACUUUGGGAUAACUUCAGGAAACUGGGGCUAAUACCGGAUAGGAGCUCCUGCUGCAUGGUGGGGGGUGGAAAGUGUCGGCGGUUGGGGAUGGACUCGCGGCUUAUCAGCUUGUUGGUGGGGUAGUGGCUUACCAAGGCUUUGACGGGUAGCCGGCCUGAGAGGGUGACCGGCCACAUUGGGACUGAGAUACGGCCCAGACUCCUACGGGAGGCAGCAGUGGGGAAUAUUGCACAAUGGGCGGAAGCCUGAUGCAGCAACGCCGCGUGCGGGAUGACGGCCUUCGGGUUGUAACCCGCUUUCGCCUGUGACGAAGCGUGAGUGACGGUAAUGGGUAAAGAAGCACCGGCUAACUACGUG